This is a long non-coding RNA of Hemicordylus capensis (graceful crag lizard), 809 nucleotides long. RefSeq lists it as uncharacterized. NCBI's taxonomy places the organism in Eukaryota, Metazoa, Chordata, Lepidosauria, Squamata, Cordylidae. The record is from RefSeq and is a predicted model, not a curated record. The transcript has 3 exons.
AGAUUCCUCUCAUCACUUUGACCAGAGGGCAGUGGAACACUUAAAAGGUAAGAGGGCUGGUGAACAGAAUUACAGACCACAGCACUUCCCAGAAAUUAAGCAAAGCAAGCAUUCUUCUCAGCAUCAAAACAGCUCAGAGGGGUGGAAGACGACUAAGGAGGACAUGAGUAAGUGAGAAUCCCACUCAGCCAACACUAGGAAAUUUAACCCACAAAAGUCAGGCUGCCAUUUGGUAGUAUUACAGUUUGCAGAUUUUAAAGAAAGGAAAACAGACAUUAUCAGAAGGGUGUUCAUGUUCAGAACAUUCACAGAAAGGACAAUGAUGGCAGGAAUGUUUGAGCAAACUAGAUUAGAACACUGGGAAAGUGACAGUUGGUUUGAUGGUAACAGAAUUUUGAAGAACUCCAGCUAAUCAUUCACAACUGCUGUACAUUUUGGAAAAGAUUACCGACUAAAUCAGAUGUCACCUGCUGAAAGUGAAGGGGGGAAAUGUUGCAGGUUGAUAAAUGGUAGGCAACAGACCAUAGGGAAGAAGAAAAAUCAUAGAACAACUGAAGUAACUGGGGUCCUGCCCACAUGAUGGCAAUUUAAACUUUCUCCAAGCUGUAUGGAAGCUGUUCACUGGUAUGCAGCUGGGAGAACUACUAAACACCACCACCUAGUUGUACCUGUAUCAACUUUCUAUGAAUGCUCCAAAUCUCUGACUCUUGAUCACAAUGGCGGCUUGAAUACAAGCUCAGUAUACAAGUAUCCAUUGAAACGAACUUAAUGAUUUCUAUGUGAAGUGGAAGACUGUGUUGGUGUUAUUA